This 2135-nucleotide unclassified non-coding RNA is filed under the name Polistes dominula (European paper wasp). RNAcentral's name for it is "uncharacterized LOC107072981, transcript variant X1". Lineage: Eukaryota; Metazoa; Arthropoda; Insecta; Hymenoptera; Vespidae. The record is from RNAcentral.
CGACAACAUAAUGCGCAACAGUUGCGUCUCAAUAAGGAAAGAAAGUAGAGAUGCUUGAAGUAGAAAUCCAUUGAGCCGUCGUCGUACAUAUUUGACCGAUAACAAACCAAAUGGUAUCUUCACGGUGUUUAGUUUCUUUCUCGUGUGUACUACUUUAAGAAAGAUCUAACGCAAUGUGAACGAAAAAAAGAAAAAAAAAACAAAUAAAGGAAUUUUAAAUAAACUUUAAUUUAAAAAACUUGUUCGCAUCGAAGUGAUCAAAUGAAAUUAAAACGAAGAUGCAACGAUGAACGUGUGCAACAAAAUAUCGAUUUCUCUUAUUGAAUAUCGUAAAAUGAAAUUGUUGAUUAAGGAAAAAACGAUAAGAAUAAAAUUACAUUUUUAAGGUAUUUUUAAUCAGGAUGACGGAAAAACGUCUAUCGUUGGGUAUCAACGUUAGUAUUCUACUGAUUCUCACGAUAUUUGGUAUUUUAUUGUCUUUACCAUUGAAAUUACUUUUGAAUACGAAUUACGAUGUUCAAAGUCAUGAAAAUCAAAGUGAAAACGAUACCGGUACAUUGUCAAACGUUAAUAAGAACAAAGAGAUAUUAGAAUUGUUAAUCGAUUAUCGUAAAUUGAAAUUAUGCAGAAGACAUGGUUACAAAGAUCGGAUAAGAUCGAUCUUUUACAGCGAUUACGAUGAGAAUUGCACGUACAUGAAAGUCCUUACGAAAAAGAAGGAAGAAAUUAAUCUCGAUUCGUUCGAGCAAGUCAACAACAACAACAACGAGUUGGUGCUAAAGGUGGAUAAGAAAAUAGAAAAGGAAGUGAAAAAGGUUGAAGAGAAGAAGGUGAAAGUGGAGAAAAACGAAGAAGAGGAGUCUCAAGAAUCGAAGGAAAUCGUUGUUGCAGGACACAUCCUCGUGACGAUGCUUCUCGUUUCAGCAAUUGCAGCUUUGGUCGAAGUAUUACGAAUUAGAUUUUCCACAGACAAGAAUAAGGAUACUUCUUCGUCGAGAGGUAACAUCCCUUCAAGAAAAAGCUCAACCGUUGAUCUACCGAUUCAAAGGCGCUUCUUACCAAGAGAACCAAUGAAGAGUCAAAAAUCCUUCGAAUUGUUAGGAAUGCAUAAAUCUUCUUUGCGUCUCUUGGGUGAGCGACCAGCCCCGCUUAUUCGACGUUCUUCCUUCCCAACUCAACAGGCUAACAAUAAACGAUCAGGUCCAUCGGCCACUGGCACGCCAAAUAUACGAAUGUCACGACGUCAAUCGGCUGAGUCCGAGGAAGAAAUCGGAGUACUUAUCACCGCUCUUCAUCAUCGUACACGUUUGAUCCGUCGCCAUUAAGGUAAAGUGCAUUCAAAGGAUGCAAUGGAAUUCAACGUCCAUCUUAUCUCGACGUAUAUCGAUCGAUCGACCGAACGAACGAACGAACGAACGAACGAAAGAAUCUUCUCUCUUCUUCCUAAGAAUCUCAUCGUUUGAAAAAGUUCGAUCCUCGAUAUUCCAUCUUAUGAGCAGCUUAUUCUUCAUUUAUUUUUUAAUACUUUAACAGGUCUUUUAUGCACGAUGCACACAACGAGAUCACUAUCUCUCCAGGAACUUUUAUCAAAUCCAACCUACAUAUAUAAAUAUAUAAAAAAUAUAUUUAAAUACAUACAUGCACAUAUUCAUAAACGUUUUGAACGUCAUUAAGGCUCAUCAUGCAUGGAGAGGAUAACACUUUUACGAGAAAUUCAUUAUUUCUUAUUGGUAUGAAUCUGACUGCUGUUACCAUGUAAAACCUUUGUAUGUCAUCUGUAUCAAACGGAGAAAUGACUUCUUUAUUACGUCCAUAUUUUUACUACAAAAAUGGAAUAUGUACUAAAAAAAAAAAAAAAAUUGUUUUCAAUCUUCGCAACAACUAUGCAAGAUCAAUUUAUUAAUGCGUAAGGCACAAACUACUUAUGAUUAGAUUCAAUAAAACAUCUCAAUGAAAUUGAACGACAAGAAACGAAUUGUAUGAGUUCUUUUAUACAUUCUAUUUAUGUAUAAGAAGAACCAAUGAAUGAGAUAGAGAAAUGAAAAGAAAAAAGAAAAAAUGGUAUAUAUUUUCGAGAACUAACGAGUUAGGAAAUAUUUUGGUAAUAAUAAAAGUAAAAAGAGAAAAAAAAUAAA